This 807-nucleotide ribosomal RNA is filed under the name Streptomyces sp. RNAcentral describes it as "bacterial SSU rRNA". It matches the Rfam family "Bacterial small subunit ribosomal RNA", at positions 95 to 916 of the family's 1533-position model. Lineage: Bacteria; Bacillati; Actinomycetota; Actinomycetes; Kitasatosporales; Streptomycetaceae. The record is from RNAcentral.
GUGGCGACGGGUGAGUAACACGUGGGCAAUCUGCCCUUCACUCUGGGACAAGCCCUGGAAACGGGGUCUAAUACCGGAUAACACUCUGUCCCGCAUGGGACGGGGUUAAAAGCUCCGGCGGUGAAGGAUGAGCCCGCGGCCUAUCAGCUUGUUGGUGGGGUAAUGGCCUACCAAGGCGACGACGGGUAGCCGGCCUGAGAGGGCGACCGGCCACACUGGGACUGAGACACGGCCCAGACUCCUACGGGAGGCAGCAGUGGGGAAUAUUGCACAAUGGGCGAAAGCCUGAUGCAGCGACGCCGCGUGAGGGAUGACGGCCUUCGGGUUGUAAACCUCUUUCAGCAGGGAAGAAGCGAAAGUGACGGUACCUGCAGAAGAAGCGCCGGCUAACUACGUGCCAGCAGCCGCGGUAAUACGUAGGGCGCAAGCGUUGUCCGGAAUUAUUGGGCGUAAAGAGCUCGUAGGCGGCUUGUCACGUCGGAUGUGAAAGCCCGGGGCUUAACCCCGGGUCUGCAUUCGAUACGGGCUAGCUAGAGUGUGGUAGGGGAGAUCGGAAUUCCUGGUGUAGCGGUGAAAUGCGCAGAUAUCAGGAGGAACACCGGUGGCGAAGGCGGAUCUCUGGGCCAUUACUGACGCUGAGGAGCGAAAGCGUGGGGAGCGAACAGGAUUAGAUACCCUGGUAGUCCACGCCGUAAACGUUGGGAACUAGGUGUUGGCGACAUUCCACGUCGUCGGUGCCGCAGCUAACGCAUUAAGUUCCCCGCCUGGGGAGUACGGCCGCAAGGCUAAACUCAAAGGAAUUGACGG